This 642-nucleotide long non-coding RNA is filed under the name Chinchilla lanigera (long-tailed chinchilla). RNAcentral's name for it is "lncRNA (ENSCLAG00000026673.1)". Lineage: Eukaryota; Metazoa; Chordata; Mammalia; Rodentia; Chinchillidae. The record is from RNAcentral.
AGCCUGUUCUAUGCAUUUAGAAUGACAGAGAAGUAGAUGAUUAUGUGUUCACGAACAAAAGAGGCUUUUCUUAUAUUACAGGAGAGAAGCCCUAAAUUAUCUGUGAGUUUAUAUAGUAAUGGACAUAGCUGCAUGCCACCAUCUUCAGAGAGAAAGAAGAAACAGUUUCUCUCGAAUAAAAACAAAUCUGUGAUUAAAAAGAGGAAAGAUCCUAGUUUAAAAGCAGAACGAAGAGAAUGACGUAGAAGUUCAUCCUUCUUUUCCACUGCUCAGAAGGCCAGAUCCUGCAGAAUACCGAGAAACACAUGCAGACCUUCAUUUCUGCGGUAUCUUGUACAACUUUUCAAAACAUAAAAUAUGAAGUGAGUGUCUGUUGCUGGAUAAUUAGAACCUUGGUCUGCCUCUGUACAUCAGGUGACAUCUGUGGAAGAAGCUAUCGGUUGGGCUCCUUCAUCUCAGAAGAAUGGCUCUACCAACUCUUUGCCAGUGUUUCUCAGGGCUAUGGACAACAGCAAGCCUCGAGAGGAAAUAGCAUUGACAAAUCUCCAAGACUUUCAGGUUUACACCAUAAGUCAAUAAAAUCAUCUACUACAUAUCAUAAGGAACUGAGGCAGCCUCCCUCCUGAAGAAGGACAAUCAUCU